This 305-nucleotide ribosomal RNA is filed under the name uncultured bacterium. RNAcentral's name for it is "bacterial SSU rRNA". It matches the Rfam family "Bacterial small subunit ribosomal RNA", at positions 335 to 654 of the family's 1533-position model. The record is from RNAcentral.
UGUCCUACGGGAGGCAGCAGUGGGGGAUAUUGCACAAUGGGGGGAACCCUGACCCAGCAACGCCGCGUGAAGGAAGAAGGCUUUCGGGUUGUAAACUUCUUUUCUCAGGGACGAAGAAAGUGACGGUACCUGAGGACUAAGCCACGGCUAACUACGUGCCAGCAGCCGCGGUAAUACGUAGGUGGCAAGCGUUAUCCGGAUUUAUUGGGUGUAAAGGGCGUGUAGGCGGGAGCGCAAGUCAGAUGUGAAAACUCAGGGCUCAACCCUGAGCCUGCAUUUGAAACUGUGUUUCUUGAGUGCUGGAG